AGUAGAAUGGCUGAGAUUAGGCGAUAAAUUGUAAAUUUAUUUACGAAUAAAAAUUCUUCUACUA
This 64-nucleotide transfer RNA is filed under the name Photinus pyralis (common eastern firefly). RNAcentral's name for it is "tRNA-Tyr". Lineage: Eukaryota; Metazoa; Arthropoda; Insecta; Coleoptera; Lampyridae. The record is from RNAcentral.